Long non-coding RNA from Talpa occidentalis (Iberian mole), 667 nucleotides. RefSeq lists it as uncharacterized. Lineage: Eukaryota; Metazoa; Chordata; Mammalia; Eulipotyphla; Talpidae. The transcript is spliced from 5 exons. The record is from RefSeq and is a predicted model, not a curated record.
CUGCUCUGUUAGCUCAUUCAGAUUCCGUUCCACGUUGCAGGGAGUAUUUUGUUGCCUUUAGUCCCUCAUUAGAUUAGACACAGCUGCGGUAGCCUCUUCUGUUUCCUAUUUCCUUUGGCAAGAGCCCUAGAAGCGCCCACAUUCGCAGAGAGCCGAAGAAUCGAUAACAGAUGACGACAAGAGGAGAAACUACGGAGGGGUGUAUGUUGGCCUACCAUCUGAAGCUGUCAAUAUAGUCUCCAACCAAACAAAGACUGUACGAAAAAAUUAGAAGAAAAUAGUAUCAUGACUCAUGACCAAGAGCACCCUUAUCAAGAUCUGGAAAGAAUUUCUUCCCAUGGGACAUUGGAACGGGCACAGACAUUCUAAGAAAUUCUAAACAUUCUCCUGUUCUCCUGGCCACCCACCUUCCCCAAUAGUCUUAAGUCUAGAGUCUAGUUAAAACCGUGAGCACGUGUUGGCUGUUGUCCUAGGUAGGAAUUGGUCCAACAAUACACUCGGACGUGGAACUUUCUGUGGUACAUCUGUAACAGAUGAGCUGAUGCUGUUUGGGUCUGCUGGGCUCCGGCUAUUGUGGGCCCCCCACCACCUAUGUCCUGGCCAUGUGCCUGGCUCAUGAAGAUCAUGUCUUUUCACUGAUACUUUUUGAUAGUUUUAUAUGAUGAAA